This 469-nucleotide ribosomal RNA is filed under the name uncultured bacterium. RNAcentral describes it as "partial 16S ribosomal RNA". It matches the Rfam family "Bacterial small subunit ribosomal RNA", at positions 27 to 507 of the family's 1533-position model. The record is from RNAcentral.
GGACGAACGCUGGCGGCGUGCUUAACACAUGCAAGUCGAACGGAAAGGCCCUGCUUUUGUGGGGUGCUCGAGUGGCGAACGGGUGAGUAACACGUGAGUAACCUGCCCUUGACUUUGGGAUAACUUCAGGAAACUGGGGCUAAUACCGGAUAGGAGCUCCUGCUGCAUGGUGGGGGUUGGAAAGUUUCGGCGGUUGGGGAUGGACUCGCGGCUUAUCAGCUUGUUGGUGGGGUAGUGGCUUACCAAGGCUUUGACGGGUAGCCGGCCUGGGAGGGUGACCGGCCACAUUGGGACUGAGAUACGGCCCAGACUCCUACGGGAGGCAGCAGUGGGGAAUAUUGCACAAUGGGCGGAAGCCUGAUGCAGCAACGCCGCGUGCGGGAUGACGGCCUUCGGGUUGUAAACCGCUUUCGCCUGUGACGAAGCGUGAGUGACGGUAAUGGGUAAAGAAGCACCGGCUAACUACGUG